Molecule: ribosomal RNA, 862 nt
Filed under: Colletotrichum fructicola
Lineage: Eukaryota; Fungi; Ascomycota; Sordariomycetes; Glomerellales; Glomerellaceae
Description: LSU rRNA
Rfam family: Eukaryotic large subunit ribosomal RNA
Source: RNAcentral
UUGCCUCAGUAACGGCGAGUGAAGCGGCAACAGCUCAAAUUUGAAAUCUGGCCCUAGGCCCGAGUUGUAAUUUGCAGAGGAUGCUUUUGGUGCGGUGCCUUCCAAGUUCCCUAGAACGGGACGCCAGAGAGGGUGAGAGCCCCGUACAGUUGGACACCAAGCCUUUGUAAAGCUCCUUCGACGAGUCGAGUAGUUUGGGAAUGCUGCUCAAAAUGGGAGGUAUAUUUCUUCUAAAGCUAAAUACCGGCCAGAGACCGAUAGCGCACAAGUAGAGUGAUCGAAAGAUGAAAAGCACUUUGAAAAGAGGGUUAAACAGCACGUGAAAUUGUUAAAAGGGAAGCGCUUGUGACCAGACUUGCGUCCGGUGAAUCACCCAGCUCUCGCGGCUGGGGCACUUCGCCGGCUCAGGCCAGCAUCAGCUCGCUGUCGGGGACAAAAGCUUCAGGAACGUAGCUCUCUUCGGGGAGUGUUAUAGCCUGUUGCACAAUACCCUUCGGCGGGCUGAGGUACGCGCUCCGCAAGGAUGCUGGCAUAAUGGUCAUCAGCGACCCGUCUUGAAACACGGACCAAGGAGUCAACCUUAUGUGCGAGUGUUCGGGUGUCAAACCCCUACGCGUAAUGAAAGUGAACGCAGGUGAGAGCUUCGGCGCAUCAUCGACCGAUCCUGAUGUUCUCGGAUGGAUUUGAGUAAGAGCAUAUAGGGUUGGACCCGAAAGAAGGUGAACUAUGCGUGUAUAGGGUGAAGCCAGAGGAAACUCUGGUGGAGGCUCGCAGCGGUUCUGACGUGCAAAUCGAUCGUCAAAUAUGCGCAUGGGGGCGAAAGACUAAUCGAACCUUUCUAGUAGCUGGUUUCCGCCGAAGU